ACGAACGCUGGCGGCGUGCCUCAUCCAUGCAAGUUGAGCGAUGAAGAUUGGUGCUUGCACCACUUUGAAGAGCAGCGAACGGGUGAGUAACGCGUGGGGAAUCUGCCUUUGAGCGGGGGACAACAUUUGGAAACGAAUGCUAAUACCGCAUAAUAACUUUAAACAUAAGUUUUAAGUUUGAAAGAUGCAAUUGCAUCACUCAAAGAUGAUCCCGCGUUGUAUUAGCUAGUUGGUGAGGUAAAGGCUCACCAAGGCGAUGAUACAUAGCCGACCUGAGAGGGUGAUCGGCCACAUUGGGACUGAGACACGGCCCAAACUCCUACGGGAGGCAGCAGUAGGGAAUCUUCGGCAAUGGACGAAAGUCUGACCGAGCAACGCCGCGUGAGUGAAGAAGGUUUUCGGAUCGUAAAACUCUGUUGGUAGAGAAGAACGUUGGUGAGAGUGGAAAGCUCAUCAAGUGACGGUAACUACCCAGAAAGGGACGGCUAACUACGUG
Molecule: ribosomal RNA, 496 nt
Filed under: uncultured bacterium
Lineage: Bacteria
Description: partial 16S ribosomal RNA
Rfam family: Bacterial small subunit ribosomal RNA
Source: RNAcentral